Molecule: ribosomal RNA, 424 nt
Filed under: uncultured prokaryote
Description: bacterial SSU rRNA
Rfam family: Bacterial small subunit ribosomal RNA
Source: RNAcentral
UCGAGAAUCUUCGGCAAUGGGCGCAAGCCUGACCGAGCGACGCCGCGUGCGAGAUGAAGGCCUUCGGGUUGUAAAUCGCUGUCGUAGGGGAGGAAAUGCCGGUGGGUUCUCCCAUCGGUUUGACCUAUCCUAGGAGGAAGGACGGGCUAAGUUCGUGCCAGCAGCCGCGGUAAGACGAACCGUCCAAACGUUAUUCGGAAUCACUGGGCUUAAAGGGUGUGUAGGCGGUCCGGGAAGUUGGGUGUGAAAGCCCUCAGCUCAACUGAGGAAUUGCGCCCAAAACUGCCGGGCUCGAGGGAGACAUAGGUGAGCGGAACUUAGGGUGGAGCGGUGAAAUGCGUUGAGAUCCUAAGGAACACCAGUAGCGAAAGCGGCUCACUGGGUCUCUUCUGACGCUGAAACACGAAAGCUAGGGGAGCGAAGA